RNAcentral lists this small RNA (698 nucleotides) under Vigna angularis var. angularis. Its description in RNAcentral is "Non-protein coding transcript". Lineage: Eukaryota; Viridiplantae; Streptophyta; Magnoliopsida; Fabales; Fabaceae. The record is from RNAcentral.
CAAUCAUCCUUGGUAUCAAGAACCUCAAUUUUCACCUAUCAACGUAUCGUUUAGAACGGUGAACUGUAGGUUCUUGAGAAUUCUGGUGUUAGGAGCAAAUUUCUGAAGUGAUAGAGUUGUUCGGUCCGGUUAAGAGAGAGAGAGAGAUAGAUGAAUGAAGAAAUAUACCUUGUAGCGAGUAACGAGGUUUUUCCACUUGCACUUGCACUGCUCUGCACUUCUAUGGUAACCCUUUUCCUUCAUUCUCGUUGAGAUCACUUCCCACAACUGCUUGUUCCUCUUAGUCUCCAUGAAAGUCUGAUCCAGCUCUGCACGAAUCACGAGAAACUCCUUAGUCUCUUGGAUACUCCAUUGGGGAAACCUAUCAGUCGCAUCAACGUUGGCACUCGUAUUCUGAGGCUGAAGCCUUUGUUGCUGUUGUUGUUGCCCAUGGUGGCGAUGGAGAUGAUGACCCUCCAUUCAAAUCGAAGAAAAGUUCGUGACUUGAUCGAAUCCCAGUUAUAUACUAGAAAGAAUUGAAGAAGCAAUCGUUGUUACCCCUCUGAUCACACAGAAAAAAGAUGGAUUUUUCUUCGGGAAGAGAGAGAGAGAUAGAGAGAGAAAAGAAGAGAAAAGAAAGGGUUAUAUAUGGGGUGGUGGGAACACGAGACGAGACAGUUGUGUUGUAAAUCGCGUUAAGAGGAAAAAGAGAGAUUUGC